This 1008-nucleotide long non-coding RNA is filed under the name Phasianus colchicus (ring-necked pheasant). RNAcentral describes it as "lncRNA (ENSPCLG00000013865.1)". Lineage: Eukaryota; Metazoa; Chordata; Aves; Galliformes; Phasianidae. The record is from RNAcentral.
CAGUAAAGUCUAUAGGGUGACAAUAGGGUCUGUGGGGUGACAAUAACCAUUAUGGGGUGACAGUGGGGUCUGUGGGGUGACAGUAGGGUCUAUGGGGUGACAAGGGGGUCUAUAGGGUGACAAUAACCAUUAUGGGGUGACAGUGGGGUCUAUGGGGUGACAAUGGGGUCUAUAGGGUGACAGUGGGGUCUAUGGGGUGACAGUAAAGUCUAUAGGGUGACAAUAGGGUCUAUGGGGUGACAAUAACCAUUAUGGGGUGACAGUGGGGUCUGUGGGGUGACAGUGGGGUCUAUAGGGUGACAAGGUGGUCUAUAGGGUGACAAUGGGGUCUAUGGGGUGACGGUGGGGUUUGUGGGGUGACAAUAAGGUCUAUAAGGUGACAGUGGAGUCUGUGGGGUGACAGUGAGGUCUGUGGGGUGACAGUAGGGUCUAUAGGGUGACAGUGGGGUCUGUGGGGUGACAAGGGAGUCUAUAGGGUGACAAUAGGGUCUAUGGGGUGACAAUAACCAUUAUGGGGUGACAGUGGGGUCUAUAGGGUGACAAUGGGGUCCAUGGGGUGACAGUGGGGUCUGUGGGGUGACGGUGCGGUCUAUAGGGUGACAAGGGGGUCUAUGGGGUGACGGUGCGGUCUGUGGGGUGACAGUGGGGUCUAUGGGGUGACAAUGGGGUCUAUGGGGUGACUGUGGGGUCUGUGGGGGUGACAAUGGGGUCUAUAGGGUGACAGUGGAGUCUAUAGGGUGACAGUGGGGUCUAUAGGGUGACAGUGGGGUCUGUGAGGUGAUAGUGGGAUCUUAGGGUGACGAUGGCUCUAUAGGGUGACAACAGGUUCUAUGGGGUGACAGUGACCACUAUGGGGUGACAAUGGCUGUAUAGGGUGACAAUAGGUUCUAUGGGGCCGCAAUAGGUUCUAUGGGGUGACAGUGGCUCUAUAGGGCCGCAAUAGGUUCUAUGGGGCCGCAAAUAGGUUCUAUGGGGUGACAAUAGGUUCUAUGGGGUGACAAUGGCUCU